CCUACGGGUGGCUGCAGUGGGGGAUAUUGCACAAUGGGGGGAACCCUGAUGCAGCGACGCCGCGUGGGCGAAGAAGCGCCUCGGCGCGUAAAGCCCUGUCAGCCGGGAAGAAAAUGACGGUACCUGUAGAAGAAGCCCCGGCUAACUACGUGCCAGCAGCCGCGGUAAUACGGAGGGGGCAAGCGUUAUCCGGAUUUACUGGGGGUAAAGGGGGCGCAGACGGCAGUGCAAGCCAGGAGUGAAAGCCCGGGGCCCAACCCCGGGACUGCACUUGGAACUGCGUGGCGGGAGUGCAGGAUGGGCAGGCGGAAUGCCUGGUGUAGCGGUGAAAUGCGUAGAUAUCAGGAGGAACACCGGUGGCGAAGGCGGCCUGCUGGACUGCAACUGACGUUGAGGCCCGAAAGCGUGGGGAGCAAACAGGAUUAGAUACCCUGGUAGUC
Molecule: ribosomal RNA, 440 nt
Filed under: uncultured bacterium
Lineage: Bacteria
Description: partial 16S ribosomal RNA
Rfam family: Bacterial small subunit ribosomal RNA
Source: RNAcentral